Molecule: ribosomal RNA, 1384 nt
Filed under: uncultured bacterium
Lineage: Bacteria
Description: bacterial SSU rRNA
Rfam family: Bacterial small subunit ribosomal RNA
Source: RNAcentral
AGAGUUUGAUCCUGGCUCAGGAUGAACGCUGGCGGCGUGCUUAACACAUGCAAGUCGAGCGAAGCAUUUAAGUGGAUUCCUUCGGGAUGAAGGUUUUAUGACUUAGCGGCGGACGGGUGAGUAACGCGUGGGCAACCUGCCCCAUACCGGGGGAUAACAGCCGGAAACGGCUGCUAAUACCGCAUAAGCGCACGGUACCGCAUGGUACAGUGUGAAAAACUCCGGUGGUAUGGGAUGGGCCCGCGUUGGAUUAGCUAGUUGGCAGGGUAAAGGCCUACCAAGGCGACGAUCCAUAGCCGGCCUGAGAGGGUGGACGGCCACAUUGGGACUGAGACACGGCCCAAACUCCUACGGGAGGCAGCAGUGGGGAAUAUUGCACAAUGGGGGAAACCCUGAUGCAGCGACGCCGCGUGAGCGAAGAAGUAUUUCGGUAUGUAAAGCUCUAUCAGCAGGGAAGAAAAUGACGGUACCUGACUAAGAAGCCCCGGCUAACUACGUGCCAGCAGCCGCGGUAAUACGUAGGGGGCAAGCGUUAUCCGGAUUUACUGGGUGUAAAGGGAGCGUAGACGGCGUAUCAAGUCUGAUGUGAAAGGCAGGGGCUCAACUCCUGGACUGCAUUGGAAACUGGUAUGCUCGAGUGCCGGAGGGGUAAGCGGAAUUCCUAGUGUAGCGGUGAAAUGCGUAGAUAUUAGGAGGAACACCAGUGGCGAAGGCGGCUUACUGGACGAUGACUGACGUUGAGGCUCGAAAGCGUGGGGAGCAAACAGGAUUAGAUACCCUGGUAGUCCACGCCGUAAACGAUGACUGCUAGGUGUCGGGUAGCAAAGCUAUUCGGUGCCGCAGCUAACGCAAUAAGCAGUCCACCUGGGGAGUACGACCGCAAGGUUGAAACUCAAAGGAAUUGACGGGGGCCCGCACAAGCAGUGGAGUAUGUGGUUUAAUUCGAAGCAACGCGAAGAACCUUACCAGGUCUUGACAUCCGAUGCAUAGCACAGAGAUGUGUGAAAUCCUUCGGGACAUCGAGACAGGUGGUGCAUGGUUGUCGUCAGCUCGUGUCGUGAGAUGUUGGGUUAAGUCCCGCAACGAGCGCAACCCUUACUGUCAGUUACUACGCAAGAGGACUCUGGCAGGACUGCCGUUGACAAAACGGAGGAAGGUGGGGAUGACGUCAAAUCAUCAUGCCCUUUAUGACUUGGGCUACACACGUACUACAAUGGCGUUAAACAAAGAGAAGCAAGACCGCGAGGUGGAGCAAAACUCAGAAACAACGUCCCAGUUCGGACUGCAGGCUGCAACUCGCCUGCACGAAGUCGGAAUUGCUAGUAAUCGUGGAUCAGCAUGCCACGGUGAAUACGUUCCCGGGCCUUGCACACACCGCCCGUCA